Pelobates cultripes (western spadefoot toad) is the source of this 1061-nucleotide non-coding RNA. The record is from the annotation of a GenBank genome assembly. NCBI's taxonomy places the organism in Eukaryota, Metazoa, Chordata, Amphibia, Anura, Pelobatidae.
GAGGAAACAUGAAUACAAAUAUUAUAUGGCUACAUAGUUACAUAGCUGAAAAGAGACUUGCGUCCAUCAAGUUCGGCCUUCCUCACAUUUGUUUUUUGCUGUUGAUCCAAAAGAAGGCAAAAAAAAUUUGCAACUUGCAACAAACUAGGAAAAAAAUUCCUUCUUGACCCCAGAAUGGCAGUCAGAUUUAUCCUUGGAUCAAGAAGGUAUUACCCUACAUUGAAAAAUUAUAUCCUUGAAUAUUCUGUUUUUGCAAGUAUGCAUCUAGUUGCUGUUUGAACAUCUGUAUGGACUCUGAUAAAACCACUUCUUCAGGCAGAGAAUGCCACAUCAUUAUUGUUCCACAUCCUUUUCUUUGCCUUAGACGAAAUCUUCUUUCUUCCAGUCUAAAUGCAUGACCUUAUGUCCUAUGUAAUGUCAGGUUUGUGGUCGAUCAGAUUCACUGAGUUCUAAUUUAGAACCAGUAAUGAAUAUUAAGCAGAUUAAUCAGAUCAUACUCCUAGAAUGCCGGUGUCAUGCACCAUUGACUCAUACGAUGAAGCAAGAUCUUGAAGUCCUUUGUCAUGCCUCUCCUAUUGGUUUAAUUCGAGCUGUGUAUGUUGCCGUAUUCUGUUUGUGUUAUUUAUGGGUGCUUCAGUUGCUUUAUAGUGUUGUAUUUGUUCGUAUAUUUAGUACCUAUGAUACCUAUGAAUGUGGGCUGUGUAUGUGAGUUGUUUGUGGAAUUCUGUGUGGAUGCUCCUCAUGGGGUGUGUGUAUGUGGAUUGUCAGCAUUGUGCUUGUGGGUGGGUGUGUUUGUAUGUGUGGACUGUGUGUUUUAUUUGUAUGAGGAAGGGGCUUAUUCUGCAGCUCUGUGGGUGGUUUUCCUGGGGUCCAGUGGGGACCAGGCACAAAUUGAGGGCAGGAGCUGCAAUAGCUGCUGUAGCCUGCUCUACUCCAGUGCAGAUUUCCAUUCACAAGAGCUGGAAGAAAGUUAUCUGAGAUGCGUAAUUUAAGGAUUGUCCCUCACCACCUUUUUGCACUAGCUGAUAUCUGAAGAUCCACUGGGAAUCCUGAUAGGCCAC